RNAcentral lists this ribosomal RNA (468 nucleotides) under uncultured bacterium. RNAcentral describes it as "partial 16S ribosomal RNA". It matches the Rfam family "Bacterial small subunit ribosomal RNA", at positions 28 to 523 of the family's 1533-position model. The record is from RNAcentral.
GAUGAACGCUGGCGGCGUGCCUAACACAUGCAAGUCGAGCGAUUUACUUCGGUAAAGAGCGGCGGACGGGUGAGUAACGCGUGGGUAACCUGCCCUGUACACACGGAUAACAUACCGAAAGGUAUGCUAAUACGAGAUAAUAUACUUUUAUCUCAUGGUAGAAGUAUCAAAGCUCUGGCGGUACAGGAUGGACCCGCGUCUGAUUAGCUAGUUGGUAAGGUAACGGCUUACCAAGGCGACGAUCAGUAGCCGACCUGAGAGGGUGAUCGGCCACAUUGGACCUGAGACACGGUCCAAACUCCUACGGGAGGCAGCGGUGGGGAAUAUUGCACAAUGGGCGAAAGCCUGAUGCAGCAACACCGCGUGAGCGAUGAAGGCCUUCGGGUCGUAAAGCUCUGUCCUCAAGGAAGAUAAUGACGGUACUUGAGGAGGAAGCCCCGGCUAACUACGUGCCAGCAGCCGCCGUAA